This 864-nucleotide long non-coding RNA is filed under the name Selaginella moellendorffii. RNAcentral describes it as "long non-coding RNA (SMOE_LNC000159)". Lineage: Eukaryota; Viridiplantae; Streptophyta; Lycopodiopsida; Selaginellales; Selaginellaceae. The record is from RNAcentral.
CGACGGUGGCGUCUUGGGUGGAUUGGUGGGGGAUGAGGAGCGGCGCUGGCGGAUGGAGGCGGAAGGUCUCCUUGAUCACUGCGUGGAGGUAUGGUAGAUCUUGUAGCUCGUGUUCUUGGAUGAUUUCCUGGCGGGCAUCGCCGAAUUUCGCGCGUAAUUCUUCCUGUGCUUUCUCCAGGGCUCUGGGAUUGUUUAGCAACUCCGCCAUUGCCCAUUGGAUCGUGGUAAUGGAGGUGUCUGUUCCAGCUCCCAAGAGAUUCUAGACGAGAACAAACACAACAUGUAAGAACUUCCAAGGUAUGGAUUCUUUCUUUGUUUCUUCUUUAGAGUACCUGGAUGAGUGCCUUGAUGUUUCUAGCUUGAUUGUUUGGAUCUGGAGAGUCUAGAGACAAGAGUGUGUCGACGAAAUCUCCAACUCCAUCGUGAGCUUGAGUUUGUUCUCUGCUUUGCCUCGCAAGGACGUGCUGAUCGACCACUUUUUGCAGGAACUCGUCCUGGAUCUUGUGCAGGGCUUUCAUCUUGGCGACGCUCGAGUCGAACCACUUGAGAAACGGGAUGUAGUCGCCGAUGUGGAACUCCCCGAGAAGAAUGGUUCCUUGCUCUUGCAUAUGGAUGAAGUCUCUGGUGGCCGCGAGCUCCUCCGUCGUCUCUCCGGAUCCAAAGUAAGCCUUGUUCAUCACCAUCCGGGUGAUGACGUUGAACGUAAACUCCGUCAGCAGAUCUAGCAGCACGAAAGGUUUGCUCGUCUCCGCAACUUUUGCGAUCUUCGCUAACAAUCUCUGUAGCUCUUCGAGCCUUGCCUGGUGCGACGAGGCGAGGCGACGGUCUGUCAGGAGCUCCACGACGCACAGCUUCCUCAUGCUC